Molecule: transfer RNA, 61 nt
Filed under: Cosmarium regnellii
Lineage: Eukaryota; Viridiplantae; Streptophyta; Zygnematophyceae; Desmidiales; Desmidiaceae
Description: tRNA-Trp
Source: RNAcentral
CAGAUGCUGCGGUGGCCCGCUGGGGCCAUACCAGGCAUCGUUCGAGACAUUGGCGAUCCAC